RNAcentral lists this ribosomal RNA (351 nucleotides) under uncultured fungus. RNAcentral describes it as "bacterial SSU rRNA". It matches the Rfam family "Eukaryotic small subunit ribosomal RNA", at positions 25 to 372 of the family's 1831-position model. Lineage: Eukaryota; Fungi. The record is from RNAcentral.
CAUAUGGUUGUAUCAAAGAUUAAGCCAUGCAUGUAUACGUACAUACGUUUGCGCGGUGAAACCGCGAAUGGGUCAUUAAAUCAGUUAUGGUUCUUUAGAUUGUUCAUUUUACAUGGAUAACUGUGGUAAUUGUAGAAAUAAUACAUGCAAAACGUUCUGAAAAUAUGGGAAGAGGAAUGAUAUUAGACCAAAGCCAAAGGGGCAGCAACAUCCGUGGGUUAGGGGAGUUUCGAUAAAUUUGUGCUGAUCGCAUGGCCUCGAGCCGGCGAUGUAUCUUUCAAGUGUCUUCCCUAUCAACUUUCGAUGGUAAGGUAUUUGCCAAACAUGGUUGCAACGGGUAACGGGGAAUGG